This 373-nucleotide ribosomal RNA is filed under the name uncultured bacterium. RNAcentral's name for it is "bacterial SSU rRNA". It matches the Rfam family "Bacterial small subunit ribosomal RNA", at positions 527 to 896 of the family's 1533-position model. The record is from RNAcentral.
GUAGGGCGCGAGCGUUGUCCGGAUUUAUUGGGCGUAAAGAGCUCGUAGGCGGCUUGUUGCGUCGACUGUGAAAACCUGCGGCUCAACCGUGUGGUCUGCAGUCGAUACGGGCAGGCUGGAGUUCGGUAGGGGAGACUGGAAUUCCUGGUGUAGCGGUGAAAUGCGCAGAUAUCAGGAGGAACACCGGUGGCGAAGGCGGGUCUCUGGGCCGAUACUGACGCUGAGGAGCGAAAGCGUGGGGAGCGAACAGGAUUAGAUACCCUGGUAGUCCACGCUGUAAACGUUGGGCGCUAGGUGUGGGGGGCCUCUCCGGUUCCCUGUGCCGCAGCUAACGCAUUAAGCGCCCCGCCUGGGGAGUACGGCCGCAAGGCUA